AAUCAACGCUGGCGGCGCGCUUAACACAUGCAAGUCGAACGAGAAAGCAGGAGCAAUCCUGUGAGUAAAGUGGCGUACGGGUGAGUAACACGUGGAUCAUCUACCUCCUGAUGGGGAAUAACCCUGGGAAACCGGGGCUAAUACCGCAUAAGCCCGCGAGGGGAAAGUCGCAAGACGUCGGGAGAGGAGUCCGCGGCCGAUUAGCUUGUUGGUAGGGUAAC
RNAcentral lists this ribosomal RNA (221 nucleotides) under uncultured bacterium. RNAcentral describes it as "partial 16S ribosomal RNA". It matches the Rfam family "Bacterial small subunit ribosomal RNA", at positions 32 to 261 of the family's 1533-position model. The record is from RNAcentral.